RNAcentral lists this long non-coding RNA (1322 nucleotides) under Cervus hanglu yarkandensis (Yarkand deer). RNAcentral's name for it is "lncRNA (ENSCHYG00000009958.1)". The record is from RNAcentral. Lineage: Eukaryota; Metazoa; Chordata; Mammalia; Artiodactyla; Cervidae.
AUGAAGGAACUUCUCUCCUUGGUUUGUCAGCUUGUUUGUAAAGGCGUGAAGCCUGCCAGGCCCACAGGCAGACCUCACUCCCUCUCUAGUCUCUCCCCAGCCCAGCCGGUGAUCAGGGAAGGCCUCAUGCCAUCCAGUCUGCUCUGUGUUCUCAGAGGUUUGACAGGAGCCGUCCCUUCAGGAUGCAGGUUUGUGUGGAGGGUCCAGCCAUGGUCUGCUGUUGGUAGCACCUCCGAACCCUCCUCACCGGCAUCCUGUGCUGUUGGGACAUACGUGACCCUGAACGGGGCUGCGACGUGGUCAGUCUGCUUCUCGUCAUCCCUGAUGCAUUUCCAUCUUGAGCCGAGGCUGCAGCCCUGAGUUCUUCUGCUGAGCCGUGCUGUCCCCGCUGGACGCCAGGAGCAGGUCUCAGAGCUGUGCCGCCUCAGGCCUGCCUGGGGCUGGCUGGGCUCCUGGGUCCCGUCCUGGUCAGUUCUCUUGCGCAAUGGGGCUGUGUACUGCUGGCCACAUACCUGUGAGGAUACAAUGGAGCUGUCCUACCCCCGCACAGCUGGCCUCUGUGGCCAAUGCAGGGCCUAUGUCCUCAUGGACUGCACCCGCGUCUCACUGACCGUACGACCAGAGACUACGUUGGCCAGCGUGGCCUGGAAGGCCCUCUAGCUGGGUCAGCUCUGACCCCACCCCCAUGCUCCCUCUCCCUGUAGACCCUCGGGUCACAGUGCACACUCGUCCCCACUCCUGGAUCUCCACCCAGCUCAGCCAGGAGGAAACCCUGGAUAAUUGGAGCUAAUGUUAGUCUGAUUUGUUUGGGGGUAUCCCUCAAGGCCCAUCCCCCUUUGUGAGACGCCCCGAGCAGCCAUCCUUUCCUGGGUCUGGCUGUCACCAGGCAGGAAGGUCCCUUAGAGCUCGAGGGGGCAGGGACCCUCGUCUGCUCUGGAGCAGUUUCUACCUGAAGGAAGAGCUGCCACACCAGCAGAAGCAGACGAGCAUGGAGAAGUUGCCUGGUGAAUGUAGACCUGGAGCGGAGGGAUUCAUCCACAGGGUCAGAGAGCUCUGACCACAGGGCCGGGGAUGGGUAGUCCCAACAGCAAGUUUAUCCAUUAAGAACAUAUGUUUGUCUAGUACAGAGACUCCUUAAAAAACUAAAAACGGGAAUGCCAUAUGACCUUCCAAUCCCACUCCUGGGCAUAUAUCUGGAGAAAAACAUACUUUGAAAAUAUAUAUGCACUCCUGUGUUCACUGCAGCACUAUUCAAAACAGCCAACCUAAAUGUCCAUCAACAGGAAUGGAUAAAGAUGUGGUACAUAUGCAGUGGAAUAUCA